RNAcentral lists this transfer RNA (73 nucleotides) under Streptomyces sp. H39-S7. Its description in RNAcentral is "tRNA-Phe". It matches the Rfam family "tRNA". From Rfam's summary of the family: Transfer RNA (tRNA) molecules are approximately 80 nucleotides in length. Their secondary structure includes four short double-helical elements and three loops (D, anti-codon, and T loops). Further hydrogen bonds mediate the characteristic L-shaped molecular structure. tRNAs have two regions of fundamental functional importance: the anti-codon, which is responsible for specific mRNA codon recognition, and the 3' end, to which the tRNAs corresponding amino acid is attached (by aminoacyl-tRNA synthetases). tRNAs cope with the degeneracy of the genetic code in two manners: having more than one tRNA (with a specific anti-codon) for a particular amino acid; and 'wobble' base-pairing, i.e. permitting non-standard base-pairing at the 3rd anti-codon position. Lineage: Bacteria; Bacillati; Actinomycetota; Actinomycetes; Kitasatosporales; Streptomycetaceae. The record is from RNAcentral.
GCCGAUCUAGCUCAGUUGGUAGAGCACCGGAGUGAAAUCCCGGAGGUCCCCGGUUCGAACCCUGGGGUCGGCA